This 67-nucleotide transfer RNA is filed under the name Earias clorana. Its description in RNAcentral is "tRNA-Cys". The record is from RNAcentral. Lineage: Eukaryota; Metazoa; Arthropoda; Insecta; Lepidoptera; Nolidae.
AAUCUUAUAUUCAUAUUUUAUGAUAUAAAAUUGCAAAUUUUAAGGAGUAUUAAUAAUACUAAGAUUU